RNAcentral lists this long non-coding RNA (650 nucleotides) under Drosophila guanche. Lineage: Eukaryota; Metazoa; Arthropoda; Insecta; Diptera; Drosophilidae. The record is from RNAcentral.
GGCCUGUAGCCUUUAAAUGCACAGUGGGACAUAUAGAGUUUCGUAUUUUGUUCUUCACUGUCACUAUGCCGUUGAUUUUGUUGGUUUAGGGGAGUAACAAAAAAAAUGUUAAGCCAGCAUGUGGUGGCACCGGUACAUAGGCAGGUUAUGUUGAACCGCACAUAGAAAUAUUCCGUCAAGGCCUGGGUCAGAGAUCGUCAGGUGGUCACAUCACUUAACAUAACUCGCUAAUUUCGGCUCUCAAGGCGUUGGGCCUGUAGGCCCGAUGUAGGCGGGAGAUGAUGGUCGACGGGCUCGAUCGCGGCUGUUCUGCCUUGGUUCUGUUGGGGCCGCUCUCGAACGGUAAUCGGGCACUGGGUCGCGCCUGCGCUAAAGCUGCUGGUGGGGGCCAGGGUGGUCUACCAAAAAUAUGCCCCUCUAUGGGCCAAGUGGACGCCGUAGGUAUUUCUCCGGUGUUCCGUGGGUAAUUUAUUCGGAACUCAUCCGGUAACUGGCAGCAACCGCUUCUGUCUUCUUUUUAUGUUCGCUCCAUAUGGCCGUGGCCGCGACGUAUAUGUACGUCUGUACUCUUUGUACCACGAGGAGAAGGCUCGCUCUACUUUUUCCGGAAAUCAGCUCUUCCCAGCCUAAUUUUCGAUCCCCCUUCUGUU